RNAcentral lists this ribosomal RNA (426 nucleotides) under uncultured Pseudomonadota bacterium. RNAcentral describes it as "bacterial SSU rRNA". It matches the Rfam family "Bacterial small subunit ribosomal RNA", at positions 356 to 774 of the family's 1533-position model. Lineage: Bacteria; Pseudomonadati; Pseudomonadota. The record is from RNAcentral.
GGGGAAUUUUGGACAAUGGGGGAAACCCUGAUCCAGACAUCCCGCGUGUGCGAUGAAGGCCUUCGGGUUGUAAAGCACUUUUGGCAGGAAAGAAACGUCGCGGGUUAAUACCCCGCGGAACUGACGGUACCUGCAGAAUAAGCACCGGCUCACUUCGUGCCAGCAGCCGCGGUAAUACGAAGGGUGCAAGCGUUAAUCGGAAUUACUGGGCGUAAAGCGCGCGUAGGUGGUUCGUUAAGUUGGAUGUGAAAGCCCCGGGCUCAACCUGGGAACUGCAUCCAAAACUGGCGAGCUAGAGUAUGGCAGAGGGUGGUGGAAUUUCCUGUGUAGCGGUGAAAUGCGUAGAUAUAGGAAGGAACACCAGUGGCGAAGGCGACCACCUGGGCUAAUACUGACACUGAGGUGCGAAAGCGUGGGGAGCAAACA